This 496-nucleotide ribosomal RNA is filed under the name uncultured bacterium. RNAcentral describes it as "partial 16S ribosomal RNA". It matches the Rfam family "Bacterial small subunit ribosomal RNA", at positions 28 to 506 of the family's 1533-position model. The record is from RNAcentral.
GAUGAACGCUGGCGGCGUGCCUAAUACAUGCAAGUCGAGCGAACAGACAAGGAGCUUGCUCCUCUGACGUUAGCGGCGGACGGGUGAGUAACACGUGGAUAACCUACCUAUAAGACUGGGAUAACUUCGGGAAACCGGAGCUAAUACCGGAUAAUAUAUUGAACCGCAUGGUUCAAUAGUGAAAGACGGUUUUGCUGUCACUUAUAGAUGGAUCCGCGCCGCAUUAGCUAGUUGGUAAGGUAACGGCUUACCAAGGCAACGAUGCGUAGCCGACCUGAGAGGGUGAUCGGCCACACUGGAACUGAGACACGGUCCAGACUCCUACGGGAGGCAGCAGUAGGGAAUCUUCCGCAAUGGGCGAAAGCUUGACGGAGCAACGCCGCGUGAGUGAUGAAGGUCUUCGGAUCGUAAAACUCUGUUAUUAGGGAAGAACAAAUGUGUAAGUAACUAUGCACGUCUUGACGGUACCUAAUCAGAAAGCCACGGCUAACUACGU